AGCGGAGCUCGGCGGAGUUGAAUGGGACUUAGCCGAGCGGGACGGUGCUGCCGGGGGAGGAAAAGCUGUCACACUGGCUGAGAGAGCUUCAUUCUUUUUCUUUCUUACACGAGGAUUCAGCGAAGCAAUUGACCAGCGGCUCUGAGACACGUUUUAGAACAACUCGUUGUCUAUGCAUGCUCUGAAGCACCAGCCAUUGCCCCCACCAUCAUCUGAAACGGAUCUGGUGGCAUCUGAAGGGGUUUUGAGGGGAGCUAAAUUGCUUUGCCCAAAAUCAGGUUACAGAUCUGUAUUUGGCCUCAGCCACAAACCCUGACUGUGGGGGAUGCUUUGGUACCAGCAUGUGGAGCUGUUGGAAACCAAAUUCUUCAUUGCAAGUGGUUCAGAAUUGGAUUUCCUUUGGAAAAUGGGGACAAAACUCUCUCUGUGCAGAAGGAAGCUGUGGCUGGCUGAGCCCAAGACUCAGCAUCUGGAAGGGUUGGGAGCUGCCCCAGAUGCCUGCAAGCAUUCAGCAGAUCAGUUGAUCGGAGGAGAGGGAUCUGAUACACGGUUUGGAAUAACUUAUAGUGCAUCUGUGGGAGGUGUGAAGGGAAUCGGGAGUCUUGUCUACCUGGACAUGGAAAACUCAGCUGCCUUUCACAUGGUGAGGGAGAUGAUGGUGCAGCAGAGGAGCAGGUGAGUGAGGGAUGGGUCAGCCUCCCAAAAGGGCUGCUUGCAGCCCUGAAUGUUUGAAAUGCCUGAGAAUCCUUAGCAGGCAUUAAUCACCAUUAAACCCCAUAAGUGUUAACAUAUGGUGUUCCAACAGAGAAAAAGCUCUUAUUUUUAUCUAGAUAUUUAAGAAGGAUAUUAACAGAUGUGUAAAAAAAACCCAACACUUUGAAAUGACCCCCCCUAUCUCCUCUAUGUAAAGGCUUCUAGAAUAUAAAACCAAAUUCUAAGUAAAAAAUUGAAAUCUAACUGUAAAUUGUGUAUAUAUAAAUUAAAAAUAGUGGAUUUUC
Molecule: long non-coding RNA, 998 nt
Organism: Pogoniulus pusillus (Red-fronted tinkerbird)
Lineage: Eukaryota; Metazoa; Chordata; Aves; Piciformes; Lybiidae
Exons: 5
Source: RefSeq, a predicted model, not a curated record